UUGCGCAAGGCGACACAGUGAAUGAGC
RNAcentral lists this non-coding RNA (27 nucleotides) under Homo sapiens (human). Lineage: Eukaryota; Metazoa; Chordata; Mammalia; Primates; Hominidae. The record is from RNAcentral.